GGACAGAUGGCCGAGCGGUCCAAGGCGCCAGACUAAGGAGACCAGGCCAUCAGAUGGCUUGCAUUCAUCUGGUCUCAUUGAGGCGUGAGUUCGAAUCUCACUCUGUUCA
RNAcentral lists this transfer RNA (109 nucleotides) under Phlebopus sp. FC_14. It matches the Rfam family "tRNA". From Rfam's summary of the family: Transfer RNA (tRNA) molecules are approximately 80 nucleotides in length. Their secondary structure includes four short double-helical elements and three loops (D, anti-codon, and T loops). The record is from Rfam by way of RNAcentral. Lineage: Eukaryota; Fungi; Basidiomycota; Agaricomycetes; Boletales; Boletinellaceae.